AAAUUGAAGAGUUUGAUCAUGGCUCAGAUUGAACGCUGGCGGCAGGCCUAACACAUGCAAGUCGAACGGUAACAGGAAGAAGCUUGCUUCUUUGCUGACGAGUGGCGGACGGGUGAGUAAUGUCUGGGAAACUGCCUGAUGGAGAGGGAUAACUACUGGAAACGGUAGCUAAUACCGCAUAACGUCGCAAGACCAAAGAGGGGGACCUUCAGGCCUCUUGCCAUC
This 225-nucleotide ribosomal RNA is filed under the name Escherichia coli. RNAcentral's name for it is "partial 16S ribosomal RNA". It matches the Rfam family "Bacterial small subunit ribosomal RNA", at positions 1 to 222 of the family's 1533-position model. The record is from RNAcentral. Lineage: Bacteria; Pseudomonadati; Pseudomonadota; Gammaproteobacteria; Enterobacterales; Enterobacteriaceae.